UAAAAGGUCGGGAUAGCUCAGUGG
This 24-nucleotide transfer RNA is filed under the name Moraea virgata. RNAcentral describes it as "partial tRNA-Phe". The record is from RNAcentral. Lineage: Eukaryota; Viridiplantae; Streptophyta; Magnoliopsida; Asparagales; Iridaceae.